Long non-coding RNA from Pseudophryne corroboree (corroboree frog), 1266 nucleotides. RefSeq lists it as uncharacterized. The record is from RefSeq and is a predicted model, not a curated record. The transcript is spliced from 3 exons. NCBI's taxonomy places the organism in Eukaryota, Metazoa, Chordata, Amphibia, Anura, Myobatrachidae.
GGGAAGACUGGAGGGAUCUGUGUGAGAGAAACACGCUUCUGGAUACAAAUAUGGAGUCCCGGCUGAGAAGAUCAUCCUGUAUGGGCAGAGCAUUGGGACGGCAGCUGCAGUGGACCUUGCCACCCGCUACAAAUGCGCUGCAGUAAUCCUGCACUCACCGCUCAUGUCAGGGUUACGGGUCUUUUCUCCUAACAUACGGAGGACCUGCUGCUGUGACCCCUUUCCCAGCAUCAACAAAAUCUCUAAGGUGACCUGUCCGGUGCUCAUCAUUCAUGGCACAGAAGAUGAGAUUGUGGACUUUAGCCACGGGCUGGGAUUGUAUGAGCGUUGCCCAAACACAGUGAAGCCACUCUGGGUGAAAGGAGGAGGGCACAAUGAUUUAGACACAUUCAAGCAAUAUAUAAAGAGACUCCAGUAUUUCUUCUACAAGGAGCUGCCCACAUUCUGAAGCUCCCACCAUCGAGCACACCACUCUCUGCAGGAUUUAAAGGGCCAGCACGCCAAAAAUGUGACGUCACAUUGACACCAUAAGUUAAACACCUAUAAAAGGACGUCCCUGGGAGUACUCCUGUGCCAGAGAGCUCCCAAUUGUCAUCAUGGAGUUUGUAUAUUCUCCACAUCAGGGCCGGAUUAAGGCUCCAGGGGGCCCGGGGGGUACUUUAGACAAGGUGGGCCCCGGAGGACUAAAUAUAGUGUAUAUAGGAAGGGGAGGUUCCUUACAUGUGUCUGUCUAUCUAUCUAUCUAUCUAUCUAUCUAUCUAUCUAUCUAUCUAACUAACAUAGAUAAAAGUAUAAGCAGAAAGCUGUUGGAGGCAGUAACAAAAUAUAGCACAUAUUAUUGAAUAGAAAAUUAGCAUAUAUAUAUAUAUAUAUAUAUACACUGUAGAAAAACAUUAUCACACUGUAGAAAUCCCCCCCUGCUGCCGAUACAUCGCCGUAGGUGAUAGGCACAGAUUUAAGAGGGGAACGAUCAGGGCACUCGCCUACCCUAGCACACUGCUGCUUUUCAGUGUGAUGAAACACACUGUCUCGGAGAUGGAGGAGCAGCAGGAGAUGGUGUGGCUGCGGGUCCCGGCCUUCCUGUCCCUGGACGAUGUGUUCAGCAUAGCGAAGAGCCCUGGCUCCGAGCUACAGGACCUGACCAAGCAGUGCGGCCCUUAGUCAGUGUCCAGGGUAGUCCCGCAAGUGGCGCGGGUUCUUGAGCUGCUAGAGAGCUUUGUGGCAGCGGGUGGAAGGGAGGGAGCAUGAGCUGCUGAUUAGGAUGAU